AUUGAACGCUGGCGGCAGGCCUAACACAUGCAAGUCGAACGGCAGCACGGUUAGUGCUACCUGGUACGGGGGGCGAGUGGCGGACGGGAUAGGACGACACCGGUAUUUACGUUGGCGAGGGGCCGACGGAAGGGAGACUAACGCCACUACCGCACACGGCCUACAGGUGAAAGCACGUGGUCUUCGGCGCUUGCGCGAUGGCAGGUGCCGAUGUCGGAUUAGCUAGGUGGAGGGGUAAAGGCCCACCAAGGCGACGAUCCGUAGCUGGUCUGAGAGGAUGAUCAGCCACACUGGAACUGAGACACGGUCCAGACUCCUACGGGAGGCAGCAGUGGGGAAUAUUGGACAAUGGGCGAAAGCCUGAUCCAGCCAUGCCGCGUGUGUGAAGAAGGCCUUCGGGUUGUAAAGCCCUUUUGUUGGGAAAGAAAAGCAGCAAGUUAAUACCCUGCUGUUAUGACGGUACCGGAAGAAUAAGCACCGGCUAACUUCGUG
This 492-nucleotide ribosomal RNA is filed under the name uncultured bacterium. Its description in RNAcentral is "partial 16S ribosomal RNA". It matches the Rfam family "Bacterial small subunit ribosomal RNA", at positions 29 to 507 of the family's 1533-position model. The record is from RNAcentral.